ACCUUUGGUCCUGACAAAGUCUGUUUACUAAAGCCAUCAACACAUUCAGUGUCAAAUGGUCAAGUCAUACAUACAGCAUACGGGACUCCCCGAAUAUUUGUUCAACUCAAUCUGGGAGAAAAAUACAUUUUAAGGAUUAAAGGAUUGCUUUUAAAUAUUUAAACUGCCUAUUUCUGUAUCUUAAUACCUAAAUUGAUUUCUUACAGAACAAGCCAAAUUUUCCCAGAAAAUUACAUUGGGCAUCUUUGGAAGAACAUUAAAACUUUGAGGUAGCCCUGGUCCUGUUGCUCAAAUUACUGCUCCAGUGCACCAAACGGUGACCUGUUCAGUAGCUCAGAGUAUGCAAAAAACAGAAAAUCUACAAGUUUUGGACAAAAUUCCUCCCAAACACCUCACCUGGGAUCACUAGAGUCUGCAAAAGUCGUAUGCUAUGCUGAUGUGGAAGCUAUGAAUAAUGAGGAUCAACUACUUAUGGAACACACAGAGCUUGCGUGCCUACCAUUUCUCCAAUUGGCAUCAUCUCUACCACAUAAAUAAACCAAAUUUCCAUAGUGCAUGUUGCCUCACCUUUCAUUCUUGUUAGUACAAUGCCUG
Molecule: long non-coding RNA, 594 nt
Filed under: Vulpes vulpes (red fox)
Lineage: Eukaryota; Metazoa; Chordata; Mammalia; Carnivora; Canidae
Description: lncRNA (ENSVVUG00000000450.1)
Source: RNAcentral